This 69-nucleotide transfer RNA is filed under the name Torleya nepalica. Its description in RNAcentral is "tRNA-Val". Lineage: Eukaryota; Metazoa; Arthropoda; Insecta; Ephemeroptera; Ephemerellidae. The record is from RNAcentral.
CAGGACAAAGCUUAAGAGGAAGCAUCCCACUUACACUGGGAAGAAGUUGUGCAAUUCAUCAUGUCUUGA